Molecule: non-coding RNA, 24 nt
Filed under: Arabidopsis thaliana (thale cress)
Lineage: Eukaryota; Viridiplantae; Streptophyta; Magnoliopsida; Brassicales; Brassicaceae
Source: RNAcentral
AUUGUUCUAACGAGUGCUUCCACU